RNAcentral lists this ribosomal RNA (2934 nucleotides) under Escherichia coli. RNAcentral's name for it is "23S ribosomal RNA". It matches the Rfam family "Bacterial large subunit ribosomal RNA". Lineage: Bacteria; Pseudomonadati; Pseudomonadota; Gammaproteobacteria; Enterobacterales; Enterobacteriaceae. The record is from RNAcentral.
GGGUUGUGAGGUUAAGCGACUAAGCGUACACGGUGGAUGCCCUGGCAGUCAGAGGCGAUGAAGGACGUGCUAAUCUGCGAUAAGCGUCGGUAAGGUGAUAUGAACCGUUAUAACCGGCGAUUUCCGAAUGGGGAAACCCAGUGUGUUUCGACACACUAUCAUUAACUGAAUCCAUAGGUUAAUGAGGCGAACCGGGGGAACUGAAACAUCUAAGUACCCCGAGGAAAAGAAAUCAACCGAGAUUCCCCCAGUAGCGGCGAGCGAACGGGGAGGAGCCCAGAGCCUGAAUCAGUGUGUGUGUUAGUGGAAGCGUCUGGAAAGGCGCGCGAUACAGGGUGACAGCCCCGUACACAAAAAUGCACAUACUGUGAGCUCGAUGAGUAGGGCGGGACACGUGGUAUCCUGUCUGAAUAUGGGGGGACCAUCCUCCAAGGCUAAAUACUCCUGACUGACCGAUAGUGAACCAGUACCGUGAGGGAAAGGCGAAAAGAACCCCGGCGAGGGGAGUGAAAAAGAACCUGAAACCGUGUACGUACAAGCAGUGGGAGCCUCUUUUUAUGGGGUGACUGCGUACCUUUUGUAUAAUGGGUCAGCGACUUAUAUUCUGUAGCAAGGUUAACCGAAUAGGGGAGCCGAAGGGAAACCGAGUCUUAACUGGGCGUUAAGUUGCAGGGUAUAGACCCGAAACCCGGUGAUCUAGCCAUGGGCAGGUUGAAGGUUGGGUAACACUAACUGGAGGACCGAACCGACUAAUGUUGAAAAAUUAGCGGAUGACUUGUGGCUGGGGGUGAAAGGCCAAUCAAACCGGGAGAUAGCUGGUUCUCCCCGAAAGCUAUUUAGGUAGCGCCUCGUGAAUUCAUCUCCGGGGGUAGAGCACUGUUUCGGCAAGGGGGUCAUCCCGACUUACCAACCCGAUGCAAACUGCGAAUACCGGAGAAUGUUAUCACGGGAGACACACGGCGGGUGCUAACGUCCGUCGUGAAGAGGGAAACAACCCAGACCGCCAGCUAAGGUCCCAAAGUCAUGGUUAAGUGGGAAACGAUGUGGGAAGGCCCAGACAGCCAGGAUGUUGGCUUAGAAGCAGCCAUCAUUUAAAGAAAGCGUAAUAGCUCACUGGUCGAGUCGGCCUGCGCGGAAGAUGUAACGGGGCUAAACCAUGCACCGAAGCUGCGGCAGCGACGCUUAUGCGUUGUUGGGUAGGGGAGCGUUCUGUAAGCCUGUGAAGGUGUACUGUGAGGUAUGCUGGAGGUAUCAGAAGUGCGAAUGCUGACAUAAGUAACGAUAAAGCGGGUGAAAAGCCCGCUCGCCGGAAGACCAAGGGUUCCUGUCCAACGUUAAUCGGGGCAGGGUGAGUCGACCCCUAAGGCGAGGCCGAAAGGCGUAGUCGAUGGGAAACAGGUUAAUAUUCCUGUACUUGGUGUUACUGCGAAGGGGGGACGGAGAAGGCUAUGUUGGCCGGGCGACGGUUGUCCCGGUUUAAGCGUGUAGGCUGGUUUUCCAGGCAAAUCCGGAAAAUCAAGGCUGAGGCGUGAUGACGAGGCACUACGGUGCUGAAGCAACAAAUGCCCUGCUUCCAGGAAAAGCCUCUAAGCAUCAGGUAACAUCAAAUCGUACCCCAAACCGACACAGGUGGUCAGGUAGAGAAUACCAAGGCGCUUGAGAGAACUCGGGUGAAGGAACUAGGCAAAAUGGUGCCGUAACUUCGGGAGAAGGCACGCUGAUAUGUAGGUGAAGCGACUUGCUCGUGGAGCUGAAAUCAGUCGAAGAUACCAGCUGGCUGCAACUGUUUAUUAAAAACACAGCACUGUGCAAACACGAAAGUGGACGUAUACGGUGUGACGCCUGCCCGGUGCCGGAAGGUUAAUUGAUGGGGUUAGCGGUAACGCGAAGCUCUUGAUCGAAGCCCCGGUAAACGGCUACCGUAACUAUAACGGUCCUAAGGUAGCGAAAUUCCUUGUCGGGUAAGUUCCGACCUGCACGAAUGGCGUAAUGAUGGCCAGGCUGUCUCCACCCGAGACUCAGUGAAAUUGAACUCGCUGUGAAGAUGCAGUGUACCCGCGGCAAGACGGAAAGACCCCGUGAACCUUUACUAUAGCUUGACACUGAACAUUGAGCCUUGAUGUGUAGGAUAGGUGGGAGGCUUUGAAGUGUGGACGCCAGUCUGCAUGGAGCCGGCCUUGAAAUACCACCCUUUAAUGUUUGAUGUUCUAACGUUGGCCCCUGAUCGGGGUUGCGGACAGUGUCUGGUGGGUAGUUUGACUGGGGCGGUCUCCUCCUAAAGAGUAACGGAGGAGCACGAAGGUUGGCUAAUCCUGGUCGGACAUCAGGAGGUUAGUGCAAUGGCAUAAGCCAGCUUGACUGCGAGCGUGACGGCGCGAGCAGGUGCGAAAGCAGGUCAUAGUGAUCCGGUGGUUCUGAAUGGAAGGGCCAUCGCUCAACGGAUAAAAGGUACUCCGGGGAUAACAGGCUGAUACCGCCCAAGAGUUCAUAUCGACGGCGGUGUUUGGCACCUCGAUGUCGGCUCAUCACAUCCCGGGGCUGAAGUAGGUCCCAAGGGUAUGGCUGUUCGCCAUUUAAAGUGGUACGCGAGCUGGGUUUAGAACGUCGUGAGACAGUUCGGUCCCUAUCUGCCGUGGGCGCUGGAGAACUGAGGGGGGCUGCUCCUAGUACGAGAGGACCGGAGUGGACGCAUCACUGGUGUUCGGGUUGUCAUGCCAAUGGCACUGCCCGGUAGCUAAAUGCGGAAGAGAUAAGUGCUGAAAGCAUCUAAGCACGAAACUUGCCCCGAGAUGAGUUCUCCCUGAGACUUUAAGUCUCCUGAAGGAACGUUGAAGACGACGACGUUGAUAGGCCGGGUGUGUAAGCGCAGCGAUGCGUUGAGCUAACCGGUACUAAUGAACCGUGAGGCUUAACCUUACAACGCCGAAGGUGUUU